GCAAGUCGAGGGGUAACAGGGAAGCUUGCUUUCGCUGACGACCGGCGCACGGGUGCGUAACGCGUAUGCAAUCUACCUUCAACUGGAGAAUAGCCCGAGGAAACUCGGAUUAAUACUCCAUAAUAUCCAUUUUUCGCAUGAUUUUUGGAUUAAAGUUCCGGCGGUUGAAGAUGAGCAUGCGUGACAUUAGAUAGUUGGUGAGGUAACGGCUCACCAAGUCAGCGAUGUCUAGGGGGUCUGAGAGGAUGAUC
Molecule: ribosomal RNA, 251 nt
Filed under: uncultured bacterium
Lineage: Bacteria
Description: partial 16S ribosomal RNA
Rfam family: Bacterial small subunit ribosomal RNA
Source: RNAcentral